UGCGGAGUGGUGUAGCGGCAACACGUCUGACUCUGGAUCAGAAGACCCUAGGUUCGAAUCCUAGCUCCGCAGCCA
RNAcentral lists this transfer RNA (75 nucleotides) under Pseudomonadota bacterium. RNAcentral describes it as "tRNA-Gln". It matches the Rfam family "tRNA". From Rfam's summary of the family: Transfer RNA (tRNA) molecules are approximately 80 nucleotides in length. Their secondary structure includes four short double-helical elements and three loops (D, anti-codon, and T loops). Further hydrogen bonds mediate the characteristic L-shaped molecular structure. tRNAs have two regions of fundamental functional importance: the anti-codon, which is responsible for specific mRNA codon recognition, and the 3' end, to which the tRNAs corresponding amino acid is attached (by aminoacyl-tRNA synthetases). tRNAs cope with the degeneracy of the genetic code in two manners: having more than one tRNA (with a specific anti-codon) for a particular amino acid; and 'wobble' base-pairing, i.e. permitting non-standard base-pairing at the 3rd anti-codon position. The record is from RNAcentral. Lineage: Bacteria; Pseudomonadati; Pseudomonadota. RNAcentral also lists the same sequence under 1 other name.